RNAcentral lists this ribosomal RNA (253 nucleotides) under uncultured bacterium. RNAcentral's name for it is "partial 16S ribosomal RNA". It matches the Rfam family "Bacterial small subunit ribosomal RNA", at positions 524 to 776 of the family's 1533-position model. The record is from RNAcentral.
UCCAGAGGGGGCAAGCGUUGUUCGGAAUUACUGGGCGUAAAGGGCGCGUAGGCGGCGUGACAAGUCACUUGUGAAAUCUCUGAGCUUAACUCAGAACGGCCAAGUGAAACUGUUGUGCUAGAGUGCAGAAGGGGCAAUCGGAAUUCUUGGUGUAGCGGUGAAAUGCGUAGAUAUCAAGAGGAACACCUGAGGUGAAGACGGGUUGCUGGGCUGACACUGACGCUGAGGCGCGAAAGCCAGGGGAGCAAACGGG